This 454-nucleotide ribosomal RNA is filed under the name uncultured bacterium. RNAcentral's name for it is "bacterial SSU rRNA". It matches the Rfam family "Bacterial small subunit ribosomal RNA", at positions 28 to 524 of the family's 1533-position model. The record is from RNAcentral.
GAUGAACGCUGGCGGCAGGCUUAACACAUGCAAGUCGAACGCUCGUAGCAAUACGGGAGUGGCGGACGGGUGAGUAACGCGUGGGAACGUGCCCUGAGGUACGGAAUAACUGAGGGAAACUUCAGCUAAUACCGUAUGAGCCCCGAGAGGGGGAAAGAUUUAUCGCCUUGGGAGCGGCCCGCGUCGGAUUAGCUAGUUGGUGGGGUAACGGCCUACCAAGGCUUCGAUCCGUAGCUGGUCUGAGAGGACGAUCAGCCACACUGGGACUGAGACACGGCCCAGACUCCUACGGGAGGCAGCAGUGGGGAAUCUUGCGCAAUGGGGGCAACCCUGACGCAGCCAUGCCGCGUGAACGAUGAAGGCCUUAGGGUUGUAAAGUUCUUUUACCCGUGACGAUGAUGACGGUAACGGGGGAAUAAGCUCCGGCUAACUUCGUGCCAGCAGCCGCGGUAAU